RNAcentral lists this ribosomal RNA (619 nucleotides) under uncultured bacterium. RNAcentral's name for it is "bacterial SSU rRNA". It matches the Rfam family "Bacterial small subunit ribosomal RNA", at positions 138 to 755 of the family's 1533-position model. The record is from RNAcentral.
GAGGGAUAGCCCAGAGAAAUUUGGAUUAAUACCUCAUAGUAUAGCAGUUUCGCAUGAAACCACUAUUAAAGUCACAACGGUGAAAGAUGAGCAUGCGUCCCAUUAGCUAGUUGGUAAGGUAACGGCUUACCAAGGCAACGAUGGGUAGGGGUCCUGAGAGGGAGAUCCCCCACACUGGUACUGAGACACGGACCAGACUCCUACGGGAGGCAGCAGUGAGGAAUAUUGGACAAUGGGCGCAAGCCUGAUCCAGCCAUGCCGCGUGCAGGAUGACGGUCCUAUGGAUUGUAAACUGCUUUUGUACAGGAAGAAACACCUCUACGUGUAGAGACUUGACGGUACUGUAAGAAUAAGGAUCGGCUAACUCCGUGCCAGCAGCCGCGGUAAUACGGAGGAUCCAAGCGUUAUCCGGAAUCAUUGGGUUUAAAGGGUCCGUAGGCGUUUUAGUAAGUCAGUGGUGAAAUCCCAUCUCUCAACGGUUGAACGGCCAUUGUAACUGUUUGACUUGAUUUAUUAGGAAGUAACUAGAAUAUGUAGUGUAGCGGUGAAAUGCUUAGAGAUUACAUGGAAUACCAAUUGUGAAGGCAGGUUACUACUAAUUGAUUUACGCUGAUGGACG